This 99-nucleotide signal recognition particle RNA is filed under the name Clostridia bacterium. RNAcentral describes it as "signal recognition particle sRNA small type". It matches the Rfam family "Bacterial small signal recognition particle RNA". From Rfam's summary of the family: The signal recognition particle (SRP) is a universally conserved ribonucleoprotein involved in the co-translational targeting of proteins to membranes. Archaeal SRP consists of a 7S RNA and homologues of the eukaryotic SRP19 and SRP54 proteins. In most bacteria, the SRP consists of a 4.5S RNA and the Ffh protein (a homologue of the eukaryotic SRP54 protein). Lineage: Bacteria; Bacillati; Bacillota; Clostridia. The record is from RNAcentral.
AUCUGGGUGCUAUACGGCGAAUGACUGUGAACCAUGUCAGGCGGGGAACCGAGCAGCAUUAAGCAGUAUGUUUCGUGCGAUGUAGUUAAUUCUGUGACU